UGGUAGAAGUUAGGUUCUUUUUCUUACAGCC
This 31-nucleotide non-coding RNA is filed under the name Mus musculus (house mouse). Lineage: Eukaryota; Metazoa; Chordata; Mammalia; Rodentia; Muridae. The record is from RNAcentral.